UACAUACCUAUACUGUAUAUACCUUUAUAUACAUAUAUACAUACAUAUAUACCUAUACUGUAUAUACCUUUAUAUACAUAUAUACCUAUACUGUAUAUACAUAUAUACAUACAUAUAUACCUAUACCUAUACUGACUUCCUGUGCACUUAAGAUGUGACUUUAAGGUUUUACUACUAAGGUAUAAAAUACUACAUGGUCUAGCUCCAGCCUAUCUUGCAGAUUGUAUUGUACCAUAUGUCCCGGCAAGAAAUCUGCGUUCUAAGAACUCCGGCUUAUUAGUGAUUCCCAGAGCCCAAAGAAAGUCUGGGGGCUAAAGAGCGUCUUCUAUUGGGGCUCCAGUACUCUGGAAUGUUCUAGCAGUAACAGUUAGAGAUGCGACCUCAGUAGAAGCAUUUAAGUCCCAUCUUAAAACUCAUUGGUAUACUCUAGCCUUUAAAUAGACCCCCUUUUAGACCAGUUGAUCUGCCGUUUCUUUUCUACUCUGCACAGAUUCGGUGACCAAAGAUGAGCGCUAGCUGUCCAAAGUUCGGACCCAGGGUGGACCACUCAUCUGUGCAUCAGUGCGCUGAUCUCCUGUCUCCACUUAAGUGCACCAACAGUAGAGUGGCUGUUUCUCUACUUCGGAAGCUUCAAGUCACGACCGGGUCGCAUGGCGAUGCAGGAUUUGUUCUCCCAGGAUGCAAAGGACGAAUCCGGACACGACUUGCAGGACAUGCUUGAAGUAUUUCAACUGACGGUACACACCUCCUCUUGGCCUUGUCCACUUGAAACUGUCUUUGCAACGCCAGGCAGGGAAGGCCAGGGGGUCAAACCGGACUCUUGCGCCGCUCCCUUGGCUGUGGGGACAUCUGCUGGACCGCACAGUCGGCGUUGAGGCUGCAGGGAUCAAGAUGAAAACUCCUGGCUGUCCUCAAACAGCAACAAAGAGAAAUACAU
Molecule: long non-coding RNA, 937 nt
Organism: Nerophis ophidion (straightnose pipefish)
Lineage: Eukaryota; Metazoa; Chordata; Actinopteri; Syngnathiformes; Syngnathidae
Exons: 3
Source: RefSeq, a predicted model, not a curated record